UCCCUAAUAAUAGGGCAGUCUCGUCUGAAAAAUUCAACAGACGACGAGGGUUUCGCUCGUUUACCCACUUAAGGGCACAGCUCACGCCACGAGCUGACGACAGCCGUGCAACACCUGUCUUACGGCUCCCUUGCGGGCACUCACCUGUUUCCAGGCGAUUCCGUAGAUGUCAAACCCUGGUAAGGUUCUCCGGUUAUCGUCGAAUUAAACCACAUGCUCCACCGCUUGUGCGAUCCCCCGCCAAUUCCUUUGAGUUUUAGUCUUGCGACCGUACUUCCCAGGCGGCAGACUUAACGCGUUAGCUACGCUACAAGAAGGGUCGAUACUUCUGAUAGCUAGUCUGCAUAGUUUACGGCGUGGACUAC
RNAcentral lists this unclassified non-coding RNA (365 nucleotides) under uncultured bacterium. Its description in RNAcentral is "contains 16S-23S intergenic spacer region". The record is from RNAcentral.